UCUACAUUGGAAAACGGUUAAACGGUAAAUAAAGUUAGUUUUGCUGGUGAACUUGUGUGGAGCAGGAACUAAAGGACCCAGGAUAAUGUUAGUAUCCGUGAGUUUGGUAGACACGUGCUAAUGGUGAUUCAUGCAUUAGCAGUUUUCUUCCGCAAUCAAACUUGAGCCUUAAGAGGGGAAUGAUAAUGGGGAAAUGUUGUAAUGACAGAAUUUAAUUAGAGGUGGGCUGUAAGUAAGUUGGGGGUCCCUCCCGAGGAUAGUGGGAGGAUACGCCCGAGGAUGCAGGGAGUCCCCGCCCGAGGAUACGCCCAAGGAUGCAGGGAGUCCCCGCCCAAAGAUACGCCCGAGGAUGCAGGGAGUCCCCCGCCCGAGGGUGCAGGGAGCCCCCGCCCGAGGAUACGCCCGAGGGUGCAGGGAGCCCCCGCCCGAGGAUACGCCCGAGGGUGCAGGGAGCCCCCGCCCGAGGAUACGCCCGAGGGUGCAGGGAGCCCCCGCCCGAGGAUACG
Long non-coding RNA from Macrobrachium nipponense, 506 nucleotides. RefSeq lists it as uncharacterized. The transcript is spliced from 3 exons. The record is from RefSeq and is a predicted model, not a curated record. Lineage: Eukaryota; Metazoa; Arthropoda; Malacostraca; Decapoda; Palaemonidae.